This 842-nucleotide ribosomal RNA is filed under the name uncultured bacterium. RNAcentral describes it as "bacterial SSU rRNA". It matches the Rfam family "Bacterial small subunit ribosomal RNA", at positions 28 to 897 of the family's 1533-position model. The record is from RNAcentral.
GAUGAACGCUGGCGGCGUGCCUAACACAUGCAAGUCGAGCGAUUUACUUCGGUAAAGAGCGGCGGACGGGUGAGUAACGCGUGGGUAACCUGCCUCAUACACAUGGAUAACAUACCGAAAGGUAUGCUAAUACAGGAUAAUAUAAGAGAUUCACAUGGAUUUUUUAUCAAAGCUCCGGCGGUAUGAGAUGGACCCGCGUCUGAUUAGCUAGUUGGUAAGGUAAUGGCUUACCAAGGCGACGAUCAGUAGCCGACCUGAGAGGGUGAUCGGCCACAUUGGAACUGAGACACGGUCCAAACUCCUACGGGAGGCAGCAGUGGGGAAUAUUGCACAAUGGGCGAAAGCCUGAUGCAGCAACGCCGCGUGAGUGAUGAAGGCCUUCGGGUCGUAAAACUCUGUCCUCAAGGAAGAUAAUGACGGUACUUGAGGAGGAAGCCCCGGCUAACUACGUGCCAGCAGCCGCGGUAAUACGUAGGGGGCUAGCGUUAUCCGGAUUUACUGGGCGUAAAGGGUGCGUAGGUGGUUUUUUAAGUCAGGAGUGAAAGGCUACGGCUCAACCGUAGUAAGCUCUUGAAACUGGAAAACUUGAGUGCAGGAGAGGAAAGUGGAAUUCCUGGUGUAGCGGUGAAAUGCGUAGAUAUCAGGAGGAACACUCGUGGCGAAGGCGGCUUUCUGGCCUGAAACUGACGCUGAGGCGCGAAAGCGUGGGUAGCAAACAGGAUUAGAUACCCUGGUAGUCCACGCCGUAAACGAUGAGUGCUUGGUGUUGGAGGUAUCGAUCCCUUCGGUGCCGUAGUUAACGCGGUAAGCACUCCGCCUGGGGAGUACGGUCGCAAGACUGA